GACGAACGCUGGCGGCGUGCUUAACACAUGCAAGUCGAACGGAAAGGCCCUGCUUUUGUGGGGUGCUCGAGUGGCGAACGGGUGAGUAACACGUGAGUAACCUGCCCUUGACUUUGGGAUAACUUCAGGAAACUGGGGCUAAUACCGGAUAGGAGCUCCUGCUGCAUGGUGGGGGUUGGAAAGUUUCGGCGGUUGGGGAUGGACUCGCGGCUUAUCAGCUUGUUGGUGGGGUAGUGGCUUACCAAGGCUUUGACGGGUAGCCGGCCUGAGAGGGUGACCGGCCACAUUGGGACUGAGAUACGGCCCAGACUCCUACGGGAGGCAGCAGUGGGGAAUAUUGCACAAUGGGCGGAAGCCUGAUGCAGCAAUGCCGCGUGCGGGAUGACGGCCUUCGGGUUGUAAACCGCUUUCGUCUGUGACGAAGCGUGAGUGACGGUAAUGGGUAAAGAAGCACCGGCUAACUACGUGCCAGCAGCCGCGGUGAUACGUAGGGUGCGAGCGUUGUCCGGAUUUAUUGGGCGUAAAGGGCUCGUAGGUGGUUGAUCGCGUCGGAAGUGUAAUCUUGGGGCUUAACCCUGAGCGUGCUUUCGAUACGGGUUGACUUGAGGAAGGUAGGGGAGAAUGGAAUUCCUGGUGGAGCGGUGGAAUGCGCAGAUAUCAGGAGGAACACCAGUGGCGAAGGCGGUUCUCUGGGCCUUUCCUGACGCUGAGGAGCGAAAGCGUGGGGAGCGAACAGGCUUAGAUACCUGGUAGUCCACGCUGUAAACGGUGGGUACUAGGUGUGGGGUCCAUUCCACGGGUUCCGUGCCGUAGCUAACGCUUUAAGUACCCCGCCUGGGGAGUACGGCCGCAAGGCUAAAACUCAAAGGAAUUGACGGGGCCCCGCACAAGCGGCGGAGCAUGCGGAUUAAUUCGAUGCAACGCGUAGAACCUUACCUGGGUUUGACAUGGAUCGGGAGUGCUCAGAGAUGGGUGUGCCUCUUUUGGGGUCGGUUCACAGGUGGUGCAUGGCUGUCGUCAGCUCGUGUCGUGAGAUGUUGGGUUAAGUCCCGCAACGAGCGCAACCCUUGUUCACUGUUGCCAGCACGUUAUGGUGGGGACUCAGUGGAGACCGCCGGGGUCAACUCGGAGGAAGGUGGGGAUGACGUCAAGUCAUCAUGCCCCUUAUGUCCAGGGCUUCACGCAUGCUACAAUGGCUGGUACAGAGAGUGGCGAGCCUGUGAGGGUGAGCGAAUCUCGGAAAGCCGGUCUCAGUUCGGAUUGGGGUCUGCAACUCGACCUCAUGAAGUCGGAGUCGCUAGUAAUCGCAGAUCAGCAACGCUGCGGUGAAUACGUUCCCGGG
Molecule: ribosomal RNA, 1342 nt
Filed under: uncultured bacterium
Lineage: Bacteria
Description: 16S ribosomal RNA
Rfam family: Bacterial small subunit ribosomal RNA
Source: RNAcentral